AUAACAAAACAAUGUAUUGGAUUUAAACCCCAAAAAUGAAAAUUUUAUAUUUUCUAUUAGAA
RNAcentral lists this transfer RNA (62 nucleotides) under Triaenodes tardus. Its description in RNAcentral is "tRNA-Leu". Lineage: Eukaryota; Metazoa; Arthropoda; Insecta; Trichoptera; Leptoceridae. The record is from RNAcentral.